AAGGAAUAUUGGUCAAUGGACGAAAGUCUGAACCAGCUAUGCCGCGUGAAGGAUUAAGGUCCUCUGGAUUGUAAACUUCUUUUAUCUGGGACGAAAAAAGGUCUUUCUAGAUCACUUGACGGUACCAAAUGAAUAAGCACCGGCUAACUCCGUGCCAGCAGCCGCGGUAAUACGGAGGGUGCAAGCGUUAUCCGGAUUCACUGGGUUUAAAGGGUGCGUAGGCGGGCAGGUAAGUCAGUGGUGAAAUCCUGGAGCUCAACUCCAGAACUGCCAUUGAUACUAUCUGUCUUGAAUAUUGUGGAGGUAAGCGGAAUAUGUCAUGUAGCGGUGAAAUGCUUAGAUAUGACAUAGAACACCCAUUGCGAAGGCAGCUUACUACGCAUAUAUUGACGCUGAGGCACGAAAGCGUGGGGAUCAAACAGGA
RNAcentral lists this ribosomal RNA (424 nucleotides) under uncultured Sediminibacterium sp. Its description in RNAcentral is "bacterial SSU rRNA". It matches the Rfam family "Bacterial small subunit ribosomal RNA", at positions 356 to 777 of the family's 1533-position model. The record is from RNAcentral. Lineage: Bacteria; Pseudomonadati; Bacteroidota; Chitinophagia; Chitinophagales; Chitinophagaceae.